RNAcentral lists this ribosomal RNA (425 nucleotides) under uncultured bacterium. RNAcentral describes it as "partial 16S ribosomal RNA". It matches the Rfam family "Bacterial small subunit ribosomal RNA", at positions 354 to 796 of the family's 1533-position model. The record is from RNAcentral.
GUUAGGAAUAUUGGACAAUGGGCGCAAGCCUGAUCCAGCCAUGCCGCGUGAGUGAUGAAGGCCUUCGGGUUGUAAAGCUCUUUAGUCCACGAAUAUAAUGACUGUAGUGGAAGAAUAAGCCCCGGCUAACUUCGUGCCAGCAGCCGCGGUAAUACGAAGGGGGCGAGCGUUAUUCGGAAUCACUGGGCGUAAAGCGUGCGUAGGCUGUUUUGUAAGUCAGAAGUGAAAGCCCAGGGCUUAACCCUGGAAUUGCUUUUGAAACUACAAGACUCGAAUUCGGGAGAGGAUAGCGGAAUUGUCAGUGUAGCAGUGAAAUGCGUAGAUAUUGACAGGAACACCAGUGGCGCAAGCGGCUAUCUGGACGAGUAUUGACGCUGAGGCACGAAAGCGUGGGGAUCAAACAGGAUUAGAAACCCUAGUAGUCC